AGAGUUUGAUCCUGGCUCAGGAUGAACGCUAGCUACAGGCUUAACACAUGCAAGUCGAGGGGAAACGAUAGAGAAAGCUUGCUUUUUCUAGGCGUCGACCGGCGCACGGGUGAGUAACGCGUAUCCAACCUGCCCAUCACUUGGGGAUAACCUUGCGAAAGUAAGACUAAUAUCCAAUGAUAUCUCUAGAAGACAUCUGAAGGAGAUUAAAGAUUUAUCGGUGAUGGAUGGGGAUGCGUCUGAUUAGCUUGUUGGCGGGGUAACGGCCCACCAAGGCGACGAUCAGUAGGGGUUCUGAGAGGAAGGUCCCCCACAUUGGAACUGAGACACGGUCCAAACUCCUACGGGAGGCAGCAGUGAGGAAUAUUGGUCAAUGGGCGAGAGCCUGAACCAGCCAAGUAGCGUGCAGGAUGACGGCCCUAUGGGUUGUAAACUGCUUUUAUAAGGGAAUAAAGUGAGUCUCGUGAGACUUUUUGCAUGUACCUUAUGAAUAAGGACCGGCUAAUUCCGUGCCAGCAGCCGCGGUAACACGGAAGGUCCGGGCGUUAUCCGGAUUUAUUGGGUUUAAAGGGAGCGUAGGCCGGAGAUUAAGCGUGUUGUGAAAUGUAGAUGCUCAACAUCUGCACUGCAGCGCGAACUGGUUUCCUUGAGUACGCACAAAGUGGGCGGAAUUCGUGGUGUAGCGGUGAAAUGCUUAGAUAUCACGAAGAACUCCGAUUGCGAAGGCAGCUCACUGGAGCGCAACUGACGCUGAAGCUCGAAAGUGCGGGUAUCGAACAGGAUUAGAUACCCUGGUAGUCCGCACGGUAAACGAUGGAUGCCCGCUGUUGGUCUGAAUAGGUCAGCGGCCAAGCGAAAGCAUUAAGCAUCCCACCUGGGGAGUACGCCGGCAACGGUGAAACUCAAAGGAAUU
Molecule: ribosomal RNA, 913 nt
Filed under: uncultured bacterium
Lineage: Bacteria
Description: bacterial SSU rRNA
Rfam family: Bacterial small subunit ribosomal RNA
Source: RNAcentral